Molecule: ribosomal RNA, 916 nt
Filed under: uncultured bacterium
Lineage: Bacteria
Description: bacterial SSU rRNA
Rfam family: Bacterial small subunit ribosomal RNA
Source: RNAcentral
GAGUUUGAUCCUGGCUCAGGAUGAACGCUAGCGACAGGCUUAACACAUGCAAGUCGAGGGGCAGCGGGGGAGCAGCAAUGCUCCCGCCGGCGACCGGCGCACGGGUGAGUAACACGUAUGGAACCUGCCCGCAGCAGGGGGAUAAGCGGAAGAAAUUCCGUCUAAUACCGCGUAACACCGCAGAGGGGCAUCCCUCGGCGGUUAAAGAUUCAUCGGCUGCGGAUGGCCAUGCGGCGCAUUAGCUAGUCGGCGGGGUAACGGCCCACCGAGGCGACGAUGCGUAGGGGUUCUGAGAGGAAGGUCCCCCACACUGGUACUGAGACACGGACCAGACUCCUACGGGAGGCAGCAGUGAGGAAUAUUGGUCAAUGGCCGGGAGGCUGAACCAGCCAAGUCGCGUGAGGGAAGACGGCCCUACGGGUUGUAAACCUCUUUUGUCAGGGAGCAAGAGGCGGGUCGAGACCUGCUGUGAGAGUACCUGAAGAAAAAGCAUCGGCUAACUCCGUGCCAGCAGCCGCGGUAAUACGGAGGAUGCGAGCGUUAUCCGGAUUUAUUGGGUUUAAAGGGUGCGCAGGCGGAGGCACAAGUCAGCGGUAAAAUCGCGGGGCUCAACCCCGCUCCGCCGUUGAAACUGUGUCCCUUGAGUGCGCGAAGGGUAGGCGGAAUGCGUGGUGUAGCGGUGAAAUGCAUAGAUAUCACGCAGAACUCCGAUCGCGAAGGCAGCCUACCGGCGCGCAACUGACGCUCAUGCACGAAAGCGUGGGUAUCGAACAGGAUUAGAUACCCUGGUAGUCCACGCAGUAAACGAUGAAUGCUAUCUGUCCGGCCGGAAUGACGGCUGGGUGGCACAGCGAAAGCGUUAAGCAUUCCACCUGGGGAGUACGCCGGCAACGGUGAAACUCAAAGGAAUUGACGG